GAUGAACGCUGGCGGCGUGCCUAAUACAUGCAAGUCGAGCGAACGGACGAGAAGCUUGCUUCUCUGAUGUUAUCGGCGGACGGGUGAGUAACACGUGGAUAACCUACCUAUAAGACUGGGAUAACUUCGGGAAACCGGAGCUAAUACCGGAUAAUAUUUUGAACCGCAUGGUUCAAAAGUGAAAGACGGUCUUGCUGUCACUUAUAGAUGGAUCCGCGCUGCAUUAACUAGUUGGUAAGGUAACGGCUUAGCAAGGCAACGAUGCAUACCCGACCUGAGAGGGUGAUCGGACACACUGGAACAGAGACACGGUCCAGACUCCGACGGGGAGACACAGUAGGGAAUCUUCCGCAAUGGGCGAAAGCCUGACGGAGCAACGCCGCGUGAGUGAUGAAGGUCUCCGGAUCGUAAAACUCUGUUAUUAGGGAAGAACAUAUGUGUAAGUAGCUGUGAACAUCUUGACGGUACCUGAUCAGAAAGCCACGGCUAACUACGUG
This 497-nucleotide ribosomal RNA is filed under the name uncultured bacterium. RNAcentral's name for it is "partial 16S ribosomal RNA". It matches the Rfam family "Bacterial small subunit ribosomal RNA", at positions 28 to 507 of the family's 1533-position model. The record is from RNAcentral.